This 354-nucleotide ribosomal RNA is filed under the name uncultured Desulfurella sp. RNAcentral's name for it is "bacterial SSU rRNA". It matches the Rfam family "Bacterial small subunit ribosomal RNA", at positions 11 to 351 of the family's 1533-position model. The record is from RNAcentral. Lineage: Bacteria; Pseudomonadati; Campylobacterota; Desulfurellia; Desulfurellales; Desulfurellaceae.
GUUUGAUUCUGGCUCAGAAUGAACGCUGGCGGCGUGCUUAACACAUGCAAGUCGUACGUGAAAGAAGGGCAACCUUCAAGUAAAGUGGCGCACGGGUGAGUAACACGUGGAUAACCUGCCCCAAAGUCUGGGAUAACGCGCCGAAAGGUGCGCUAAUACCGGGUACCUUUAUGCCUCACAAGAGGUAUAAAGAAAGGAGGCCUCUGCUUGCAAGCUUCUGCUUUGGGAUGGAUCCGCGGCCUAUCAGGUAGUUGGUAGGGUAAUGGCCUACCAAGCCUACGACGGGUAGCUGGUCUGAGAGGACGAUCAGCCACAUUGGGACUGAGACACGGCCCAGACUCCUACGGGAGGCAG